This 465-nucleotide ribosomal RNA is filed under the name Vreelandella stevensii. RNAcentral describes it as "partial 16S ribosomal RNA". It matches the Rfam family "Bacterial small subunit ribosomal RNA", at positions 338 to 795 of the family's 1533-position model. Lineage: Bacteria; Pseudomonadati; Pseudomonadota; Gammaproteobacteria; Oceanospirillales; Halomonadaceae. The record is from RNAcentral.
CCUACGGGAGGCUGCAGUGGGGAAUAUUGGACAAUGGGGGGAACCCUGAUCCAGCCAUGCCGCGUGUGUGAAGAAGGCCCUCGGGUUGUAAAGCACUUUCAGUGAGGAAGAACGCCUGGUGGUUAAUACCCAUCAGGAAAGACAUCACUCACAGAAGAAGCACCGGCUAACUCCGUGCCAGCAGCCGCGGUAAUACGGAGGGUGCGAGCGUUAAUCGGAAUUACUGGGCGUAAAGCGCGCGUAGGUGGCUUGACAAGCCGGUUGUGAAAGCCCCGGGCUCAACCUGGGAACGGCAUCCGGAACUGUCAAGCUAGAGUGCAGGAGAGGAAGGUAGAAUUCCCGGUGUAGCGGUGAAAUGCGUAGAGAUCGGGAGGAAUACCAGUGGCGAAGGCGGCCUUCUGGACUGACACUGACACUGAGGUGCGAAAGCGUGGGUAGCAAACAGGAUUAGAUACCCCGGUAGUC